AGGACUGUAGUUAAGUAUAACAUUUGAUUUGCAUUCAAAAGGUAUUGUUUAUCAAUCUGUCUUA
RNAcentral lists this transfer RNA (64 nucleotides) under Diestrammena japanica. Its description in RNAcentral is "tRNA-Ala". It matches the Rfam family "tRNA". From Rfam's summary of the family: Transfer RNA (tRNA) molecules are approximately 80 nucleotides in length. Their secondary structure includes four short double-helical elements and three loops (D, anti-codon, and T loops). Further hydrogen bonds mediate the characteristic L-shaped molecular structure. tRNAs have two regions of fundamental functional importance: the anti-codon, which is responsible for specific mRNA codon recognition, and the 3' end, to which the tRNAs corresponding amino acid is attached (by aminoacyl-tRNA synthetases). tRNAs cope with the degeneracy of the genetic code in two manners: having more than one tRNA (with a specific anti-codon) for a particular amino acid; and 'wobble' base-pairing, i.e. permitting non-standard base-pairing at the 3rd anti-codon position. Lineage: Eukaryota; Metazoa; Arthropoda; Insecta; Orthoptera; Rhaphidophoridae. The record is from RNAcentral.